This is a long non-coding RNA of Homo sapiens (human), 1369 nucleotides long. RefSeq annotates it as long independently transcribed non-coding RNA 2715. Lineage: Eukaryota; Metazoa; Chordata; Mammalia; Primates; Hominidae. The transcript has 7 exons. The record is from RefSeq and is marked validated.
AUCUGAAGUGUGAAUAGGAUUGGUGAAAGAGUGAAAGAGUGUUGUGUGCUUUUGCUGAGUUUAGGAUGGUGUCAAUUGUGCCUCAGGAGAAGAGUUUAGACAUUCUGUCCUGAUGAAUGUAAUCAAGUCUUUAUUUCAUGGUUUCUCUUAACGCAAAUACGUACAGGUUCAUAUUCGUCGAUGAGGGUGAGAGGAAAACUAUCGCCAACAGAAAGAAUCCAGAUAGGAAGAGAGAAAAAGAAAGACCAGAGAUGGUAUACUGUGGUGGUUAAAGGCCAGAGACUGGGGAAAAAGUGGUUAUGGGUUUAAAGUCUGCCUCCAGCAUUUUCUUGCUCUAUAAUUUUGGAGAAGUUACCAAAAAUCUCAAAACCCAAGUUUUUUUGUAAGAUAUCUACAUUUCAGACUUCUUGUGAAGACUAAAAAAGAUAAUGAUUUUGUGUCCUUUUUAAAACAGCCUCAAUCACCUGAUUCCUCCCUGCCACUUCUCUGCAAAUGAUAGAGUUCACACAUCUAUAAUUCUCUCAUAGGUUCAUGUGGGCUGCUCCUCAUAACCCUGCUCAAACACUACUGAGGCAUCAGGAUCUUCAAGAUUCAUAAUCACAUAACAAUUGUUUUGAGCUGAAGACAGCAGAAGAACAUAAGGAUACCCUGUACUUCUCAGGAGGAUAGGAACAUCAGAUUUGGAAUGGAUGAGGAAACUGAAGCGAAAGAAUGUUGACUAAUUUUGUCAAGGUCACACAACUGCUCUCUUUGGUGACUUCCUGAAGCUUGAAGUAUCUUCCUUGGGAGACGUAUUAUAGAAUUUGAAAUCCCACUGGCCAGAUCUCAGCAUGUAGUUUCAUCCCAACUCUACAGAAGUCUGGAAAAUACAGAGAGAACAUGCUCUUUCCCUAGGAAGAAGAGAUGAGAGCUCCAUCUCUCUGCUGGUGGAAGGAGAGGUUGUCUUUCCCUUCCCAUAGGGCAAGAAGAGCUGCCUCCACAUCCUCCUUCUGCUGUAGCUGAAGAGCCUGUUUAAAGGAACAUCCUGAUGGGGCUCAGCCUUUUGACCCCCAGAAAACAUGGCUUUGUCUGCCAUCCUGCAGCUCAUCAUGGGAGCCUGCAAAGUGGUUGGGGGCAGCACACACCAGCAUGCUGUGAAGAGAGGAAAGAGCUGCCGGGAUAACAACCCCGCAGCCACCAUAAUGACUCAGAUUAGAACACAAGGGAACACCAGCCAUUUUUUAGUCUGUCAGUUUUUCUAUUAUCCUCAAGACUGAGCAUGAAACAUUCAUUAUAACACGUCCUUAUUGAUUCAACUGAUGGAAAUAUAUUGGUAUUAAUAACACGAAACUCUAAGGCACUGAGGAUAAUAAAAUGAUUGCGAACAUAA